AGCUAGAUAUGGUCACUCGAUAAAUGAUGAGAAGUAAUUCUAUGUCUCAAGAGGGGAAGGGUUUGAGGUCAGUUGGUUUGAUAAAGGCCCUAUAAAGCAAUCCGGCUGUCCACUUAUAUCUACUAAAUAUUAAAUACCUGUCUAUUAAGGGAAGAGUGGCACACAAGGUAGAGUUUGAAACAUUUCACUCUUUAUUCUUUAUAGAUAGUUACUUUGAAGAAUGAAGGGAAAACUACAUUCCUACGAUACCAUCAUUUUGAGAUGCAGAGGUCCAUCGGAGCUUCACUCUUCAUCAUGUCCUUUCUGAAGACGGAUCAAUAUUAGUAGAUAGUAAAGUCACCAUACAGAAUCCUGUUGGGGAAUCCCUUCCUGCAGAUUCUGAUGCCUUCCAGCACACCGUUACAGCGCAGCUGGUGCAUGACCAGAGGGUUCUCCAUGGCCCCAGGAGUCUUGGUCUCGUUGGGGAUGAGGCAACGCACAAAGUGGGGGUGAG
Long non-coding RNA from Osmerus eperlanus (European smelt), 493 nucleotides. RefSeq lists it as uncharacterized. The record is from RefSeq and is a predicted model, not a curated record. Lineage: Eukaryota; Metazoa; Chordata; Actinopteri; Osmeriformes; Osmeridae. The transcript is spliced from 2 exons.